AGGACGAACGCUGGCGGCGUGCUUAACACAUGCAAGUCGAACGAGGUCCAUCCUUCGGGAGAAGACCUAGUGGCGAACGGGUGAGUAACACGUGAGCAACCUGCCCCGAAGACCGGGAUAACAGCGGGAAACCGCUGCUAAUACCGGAUACCCCCAUCCGGCCCCAUGGCCAGAUGAGGAAAUGGAUUCCGCUUCGGGAGGGGCUCGCGGCCUAUCAGCUUGUUGGUGGGGUAAUGGCCCACCAAGGCGACGACGGGUAGCUGGUCUGAGAGGACGAUCAGCCACACUGGGACUGAGACACGGCCCAGACUCCUACGGGAGGCAGCAGUGGGGAAUAUUGCGCAAUGGGCGAAAGCCUGACGCAGCAACGCCGCGUGAGGGAUGAAGGCCUUCGGGUUGUAAACCUCUUUCGAGCAGGGACGAUGAUGACGGUACCUGCAGAAGAAGCUCCGGCCAACUACGCGCCAGCAGCCGC
This 475-nucleotide ribosomal RNA is filed under the name uncultured bacterium. Its description in RNAcentral is "SSU rRNA". It matches the Rfam family "Bacterial small subunit ribosomal RNA", at positions 26 to 518 of the family's 1533-position model. The record is from RNAcentral.